Molecule: ribosomal RNA, 440 nt
Filed under: uncultured bacterium
Lineage: Bacteria
Description: bacterial SSU rRNA
Rfam family: Bacterial small subunit ribosomal RNA
Source: RNAcentral
AUUGAACGCUGGCGGCAUGCUUUACACAUGCAAGUCGAACGGUAACAGGGUGCUUGCACCGCUGACGAGUGGCGAACGGGUGAGUAAUGCGUCGGAACGUGCCGAGUAAUGGGGGAUAACGCAUCGAAAGGUGUGCUAAUACCGCAUACGCUCUGAGGAGGAAAGCUGGGGAUCGAAAGACCUGGCGUUAUUCGAGCGGCCGACGUCUGAUUAGCUAGUUGGUGAGGUAAAGGCUCACCAAGGCGACGAUCAGUAGCGGGUCUGAGAGGAUGAUCCGACACACUGGAACUGAGACACGGUCCAGACUCCUACGGGAGGCAGCAGUGGGGAAUUUUCCGCAAUGGGCGAAAGCCUGACGGAGCAAUACCGCGUGAGGGAAGAAUGCCUAUGGGUUGUAAAACCUCUUUUUUCAGGGAGGGAACAAAAAUAGACGUGUACCU